AGAGGGUUCGCAUAGCGGUUUAGUGCACUACCUUGGAAAGGUAGCAAGGUGAAAGCCUUCACGGGUUCGAAUCCCGUACCCUCUG
Molecule: transfer RNA, 85 nt
Filed under: Minisyncoccota bacterium
Lineage: Bacteria; Bacillati; Minisyncoccota
Description: tRNA-Ser
Rfam family: tRNA
About the family: Transfer RNA (tRNA) molecules are approximately 80 nucleotides in length. Their secondary structure includes four short double-helical elements and three loops (D, anti-codon, and T loops).
Source: RNAcentral